Dreissena polymorpha is the source of this 1106-nucleotide long non-coding RNA. RefSeq lists it as uncharacterized. NCBI's taxonomy places the organism in Eukaryota, Metazoa, Mollusca, Bivalvia, Myida, Dreissenidae. The transcript is spliced from 2 exons. The record is from RefSeq and is a predicted model, not a curated record.
UUCCACGUCUGUUACUCAACUCUACAGAAGCAAGUUGAUGUCCAGAUGGCAAGCAGUACAGACGUGUUUCUUGGAGCUGCCAAACAGUGAGUACAAACGUUUUAUAUUUUUCAGUUGUUUACUCAUAGAAGUCUGUGAAAGAUGAUAACAAGGGUUGAAUCUAUCAGCACUUGUGUCUAAAAAUGCUGAUGUGUGACGGUUUACUGAAAAGGGUAAAUGCUAGCCAGUACUUACACUUGAGCAACCGUGGGAUGUCGAACUAACUGAUGAUGUACUAUGAUGGUGAACACUUACUAUGUGUAUCAAAAUGCUUUUGUUGAUAUUUACUAUAGAUGAUUUGAUAUUGGUUAACAUUUGUUUGCAUGCUGUUAACAUUUCUAUUUCAUUUCAGGGAGCUGUGGUAAGUAUUGUAGUAUUAAUUUGUCUCAAUAAACGAUGAUGAAUGAAAACUGAUGUCGAUUCUUUUUGUACAGUUUUAGGUAUUAGCACUCUAUACAAAACUCUGUCGGUCGGUGUUUGUGAAUGUGAGCUUAAUGUUUGAGUAGAACAAAAAUGUCUUUACUUUUGUGAUCGCCAGUUGUCUGUGAUGUAAAGUGGAAAAAACACAGCUAUGAAGCAUACAAUUGUUUCAAUAUUUUAUCAAUGAUAGUGUGCUAUGCAUGUUUUGAUUUAGUUCGUUUCAGAUACGACAUGACAUGAAGAGUUGACAGUCGAACAGAGCUGAGCAAAGCAGAAAGGUAAGUGUGUUUCAUUUUAGUAUGAACACUUGUAUUUUGUUUUUAUAUGGUAUGUUUUGUGCAUGCUAUGUUUCAGGUGUACUUGUAGUCAGCGACGAAGACGAUUCAAGAAGAGGAACAUUGCUGAGAAAGUGAAUGGGACUUGCAAACAGGGUAAGUGUUACAAUUGUUUGUUUGAUUUUUACCAUGCAUACUUUGCUUUGCUCUGUUUCAGAUUUCACAUGCAGAAAUGGUCUCAUAGCAGUGCCAACAGUGAAUAAGGAUUUCAUCUGCUGUGAAACAACUCAACAGAAAGUAGGUAAGCAUUGAAUGAAUGCACUUGAGUUGUACAAUUUGAUGUGAUGCUUUUUUUCUGUUUCAGAUUCAAGU